This 459-nucleotide ribosomal RNA is filed under the name uncultured bacterium. RNAcentral's name for it is "partial 16S ribosomal RNA". It matches the Rfam family "Bacterial small subunit ribosomal RNA", at positions 338 to 795 of the family's 1533-position model. The record is from RNAcentral.
CCUACGGGAGGCUGCAGUGAGGAAUAUUGGUCAAUGGCCGCAGGGCUGAACCAGCCAAGCCGCGUGAGGGAUGACGGUCCUAUGGAUUGUAAACCUCUUUUGUCAGGGAGCAAAGGGCGCCACGUGUGGCGCUUUGCGAGUACCUGAAGAAACAGCAUCGGCUAACUCCGUGCCAGCAGCCGCGGUAAUACGGAGGAUGCGAGCGUUAUCCGGAUUUAUUGGGUUUAAAGGGUGCGCAGGCGGAAUGUCAAGUCAGCGGUAAAAUUUCGGGGCUCAAUCCCGUCGUGCCGUUGAAACUGGCGUUCUUGAGUGAGCGAGAAGUAUGCGGAAUGCGUGGUGUAGCGGUGAAAUGCAUAGAUAUCACGCAGAACUCCGAUUGCGAAGGCAGCAUACCGGCGCUCAACUGACGCUCAGGCACGAAAGCGUGGGUAUCGAACAGGAUUAGAUACCCCAGUAGUC